UUAGUUUUGGACGCACUUAGCAAAAGGGUAACAAAUUGUGCUGCUAGUUGCUUUUUAAAUCUCUUAUUGAGAAAACAUAAUGAAUCUUUAUUAAUUUAUUUAUAUAGGCAAAAUAGUGCAUUAAAUAUGAAACAAUUAAAACAAACACAAGAUAUGACAAGUUUGGUCAGACUUCAAAGUGACAGAAUACAUACACAAAUGUUGCACAAACCAAGGCAGCAUUUUCCGAAAAACAAACCCAAAUGCAAAAAAGGUUAUCGACAAACAAAGAAAACAAAACGAGCAACCAAUUGCAACUAUUGA
Molecule: non-coding RNA, 303 nt
Organism: Vicia faba (fava bean)
Lineage: Eukaryota; Viridiplantae; Streptophyta; Magnoliopsida; Fabales; Fabaceae
Source: the annotation of a GenBank genome assembly